RNAcentral lists this ribosomal RNA (510 nucleotides) under uncultured bacterium. RNAcentral's name for it is "partial 16S ribosomal RNA". It matches the Rfam family "Bacterial small subunit ribosomal RNA", at positions 28 to 507 of the family's 1533-position model. The record is from RNAcentral.
GACGAACGCUGGCGGCGUGCUUAACACAUGCAAGUCGAACGAAGAGCGAUGGAAGCUUGCUUCUAUCAAUCUUAGUGGCGAACGGGUGAGUAACGCGUAAUCAACCUGCCCUUCAGAGGGGGACAACAGUUGGAAACGACUGCUAAUACCGCAUACGAUCUAACCUCGGCAUCGAGGAUAGAUGAAAGGUGGCCUCUACAUGUAAGCUAUCACUGAAGGAGGGGAUUGCGUCUGAUUAGCUAGUUGGAGGGGUAACGGCCCACCAAGGCGAUGAUCAGUAGCCGGUCUGAGAGGAUGAACGGCCACAUUGGGACUGGGACACGGCCCAGACUCCUACGGGAGGCAGCAGUGGGGAAUCUUCCGCAAUGGACGAAAGUCUGACGGAGCAACGCCGCGUGAGUGAUGACGGCCUUCGGGUUGUAAAGCUCUGUUAAUCGGGACGAAAGGCCUUCUUGCGAAUAGUUAGAAGGAUUGACGGUACCGGAAUAGAAAGCCACGGCUAACUACGUG